Abrus precatorius (Indian licorice) is the source of this 2036-nucleotide RNA transcript. It is a transcript of the gene named nijmegen breakage syndrome 1 protein, with no coding region annotated. The transcript is spliced from 15 exons. NCBI's taxonomy places the organism in Eukaryota, Viridiplantae, Streptophyta, Magnoliopsida, Fabales, Fabaceae. The record is from RefSeq and is a predicted model, not a curated record.
AGUUCUGGUUUAACAAGUAACGAGAAUCAUGGUUUGGGGACUCUUCCCUAUCGAUCCUCUUUCAGGGGAAGAUAAAUACUAUAUUUUCAGAACUGGAGUUUACAGAGUUGGUCGAAAAGGUUGUGAUGUUAUCAUCACAAAAGAUAAAGGGGUUUCUCGGGUUCAUGCAGAAAUAGUUGUUAAUACAAUGAACCUGUUUAAUCCUCUACCAAAUGAACGUUCUCAUUUGUCGCCCAGUGUACAGAUUAGAGAUUGCUCCAAGUAUGGAACAUUUAUUAGCAAGAAUGUUGGGCCCAAGAAAAAGGUUCAUGAGCUACCAAACAAAGAAACUACAUUAGAGGAUGGUGACCUUGUUUCUUUUGGCACUGGUAGUGCUACCUACAAGUUUUGCCAUGUUCCCCUCGUUUUUUUCAUAUUUUCCUCAAAUAAAGUGGAUCAAUAUCUUGAAGGGAAAAUUUCAUCAAUUGGUGCAAAUAUUACCCAUAACUUAGGCGAAGAGUGUACACAUGUGCUGGUAGAUCAAUCCAUGCCAUUGAACAAGGAUCUUGUUGAUGCUGUUGUGGCACAAAAAAAUUGUGUUCUCAAAACUUGGCUUGAGUUUUUUGCAGAAAAGAACAUUGGCACCAACAUUCCUAGCAUUCAUUCAUAUAUACCAUCAGUGUCAGUAGAAGAAGCAUCUAUUAAAGUUGUUGACCCCAAAACUCGGGCAAAAUGCUUGAAAGAAUACACUUUUUUGUUGGAAUCUGAGCAUUCGUAUAAAUUUGGGGAUCAGCUAAAAUCUUUAUUGGAAGUGGCUGGUGCAAAAGUUAUUUCCUUUGAAGAAUUUUGCUCAAAUAGCCAAGGUUCAGAUUAUGGAGAUGAUCACCGUGUAGUUUGUGUCAUCCCAGGAGGAUCAGCAUGCAAGUCUAAUCUGUUCAAUAAAUUAAGUUCCUUGCUUAGAGUGAAUGAGAUGGAUAUAAUAUGUGCUGCUUUCAGUGGACAGCUAGAUUUGUCUAUUUUGAAAUCACCAUGCAUACUGGUGUCAUCAUCAUGCUCUACAGAUGAGACAAUUGUAGCAGAUUCAGAUACUGAAGUUGAAACAGCCACAUCAGCCCACUCACCUGAGCCAAUCUGCCAAGACAAUAAUGUAAAAUAUGAACAAAUCAAAGAAUUAAAUGAUAAAUCUGGCACUUUGGGUGCUAAACAACAUGAAAAAAUUGAGGCAUGCUCAGGUAAUGUUUCAACCAGAUUGCAUGAUUUUAAAUGUGCAAAAACAGAAACAUCCUUGGAUGGUGCUUCUGUCAGAUUGGAUACACAGGCUACCAACAUCAACAGUGACAAUGGUGGGAUCAAAGUAAGGAAAGACAAGGUUGAUGAUUAUGAAAGUGGAAAUUCAGAUAUUGUUUACAGCCAAUACUUAGUUGUUCGAGAUACAAACAUCCAUAUUACAUCUAGCAUAAGUACUGUACCAAACAAAAGUGUUCCAAAUUUUAAACGCUUUAGAAAGGCGCAAACUCAAUCUGGUAAUAGCUUCGACAAUCUUGUUCCGUUUGCAAAGUAUCCAUACAAGGAUUCCGAAUAUGGGAAUGAUGAGAUGGCUGAAUUUGUAAAAGAGGAGAAAAGGCGAAAGAAAAUGGAAGCUGUGGCAGAUGACCUAUUUAAUAGUGAGAAGGCAAGAAGACGAGGUACUGCUGGUUCCCUUCGUGGCAUUCUUACUUCCUGAAGGUGGACAUGGUGGUAUGCUAUAGCAGAGAGCUUUCUCCAAAGAUCUGGACUUUGAAGAUACUGCACAUUUGAUGCGGGUUACAGUUGCAGGGCGCUUGAAGGUUCUAUCUAGUUUCCCUAGUUAGCAUAUGAAGUAAACAAAGCUCAUAUACAAGUGAGAUGAACGUGGAUAGUGAACACCAUAAAAUGCGGAGUGUUUGGCAUGUAAAGGUUUCUGGCACUAUUCUUUACAUGUAAAGCUCACAUUUUUACCAAUUAAACUUGUCUGGUAACCCAAAAAUAUGUAAAUCAUAUUUAUUCUCUUGCUAUGUCGCAGACAGAGCCUGUUACUG